CGCGGCGGUCGCCAUGGCAACGCGGGUCGCCCGGAGGGGUGAGGAGUGAACCCCGGGAGCCAGAGCCGCCCCGCCCCGUCGGCCUCACCUGCUCGCCUCCUUGGAACCGGAACUGGGAACUUUCCUGGUUGCCAGGAGCCGAGGCGGGGGGUCGCGCUCCGCACCCGCAGGUGCUGGUGGAACAGCGUCCCGGCCUCUUCCCGCCCGUCCAGAGCCGGGUAGCACCCGAGUCCCUCACCAGCCCGACCCGUUCUUCUGCCAGCGCCCGGCCUCGCCCCGCGCCCGGAGCUCCCUUUCCCUUCCUUACCCGGCUCCGGUGGUCAUCCUCCCCAACUUUCUUUACCUGAACUCCAAGGCGCCUUGUUUCUCCCCUGCGCACCUGGCCCUGCCCACCGCCCCUGCUCACCGCCCCUGCUCCCACUACUCCCCAACAGCCAAUCCCUCCUUCCGGCCCCCACCUCUGGCUGUUUGAGAAGAGCAUGGGCUUUGGACCUGGGCUUGCGCCAUCAACUAAACCAUGUAACCUGACACCAACCCCCCCCAGCCUAUUUGCUCACCACCCAGGACCCAGACCUGGACCCACCCCAAGCUGAGAAGCGUUGGGCAAGUCUGGGCUCCCUCACUGGCAAACACCUGGGCCUUCUGCGGGAGGAAACGCUGGCAGAAAGGUUCUCUCCUGGGGACCAUUUGUACCCUGUGCAGGGCCCUUCACACCCUGGCAUGCCCACGGCUAACUCAGGACCAGAACCUGGCCCAUCCUAUUAGGACUUUUGGAGGACUUUGGCUCAAAGCCAUUGGCACAGCUUCCUGGGAGGCAAAAACGUCACAGGCAUCAUCUGAAAGCCUCCAAGGCCUCCACAGGCUAGGGGAGCCUCAAUCAGGAGGUUCAGGUCAUCCACACUGGCUACUGCCCUAGAGCUAGAGACACCCUCUUCCCACCUCCCACCAGCUAUCAAGGGUCUCCUGUCAGGUCACCCCUUUUCCUCCACUCCCACUUCCAGCACCUGAGUCCAGGUGCUUAGCACCUUGUCUGCACCAGCAUAGCAAUCCCUCCCUGGAUCCCUCACCCUUAGCCUCUGACCUCAGACUGCCAACCUGGCACCCCGG
RNAcentral lists this long non-coding RNA (1107 nucleotides) under Homo sapiens (human). Its description in RNAcentral is "HSALNT0054192". The record is from RNAcentral. Lineage: Eukaryota; Metazoa; Chordata; Mammalia; Primates; Hominidae.